GGUUCCAUGGUGUAAUGGUUAGCACUCUGGACUCAGAAUCCAGUAGUCCAAGUUCAAGUCUUGAUGGAACCA
This is a non-coding RNA of Otolemur garnettii (small-eared galago), 72 nucleotides long. The record is from Rfam. Lineage: Eukaryota; Metazoa; Chordata; Mammalia; Primates; Galagidae.